GGGUGAUUAGCUCGCUGGGAGAGCACCUCCCUUACAAGGAGGGGGUCGGCGGUUCGAUCCCGUCAUCACCCACCA
Molecule: transfer RNA, 75 nt
Filed under: Shigella flexneri
Lineage: Bacteria; Pseudomonadati; Pseudomonadota; Gammaproteobacteria; Enterobacterales; Enterobacteriaceae
Description: tRNA-Val
Rfam family: tRNA
About the family: Transfer RNA (tRNA) molecules are approximately 80 nucleotides in length. Their secondary structure includes four short double-helical elements and three loops (D, anti-codon, and T loops).
Source: RNAcentral